AUACCCUCCGUGUGCAUGGUGCUUUUCAGUUGACAAAGCCCCCUCACAUUUGUUAUCAUUUGAUCCUCUCAAUAACUUUGUGGAAAAGGCAGAGCAAGUAUCAUCUCUGAAACAUCGAAGAGAAAAUGAAGAUGGGAAGAGAAACUAUUCGCUAAGGGCUUUCAAAAAUAUAGUGAAAGAAGAGAAGAUAAGGAAAGAUUUUGAGCAAAGCAAGGCAACAGACCAAGGAAAUAGAAAGCUGAUUGUGUCCAGACAUAACAGUGGCAGGAGCAACAAAACUUUGGGAUAUUUGGACACUUCGUGAUACUGACUGGUUGGCAUAGUGAGCAUUUGUUCUGGGAAGCAAGCUGCCAGACCUUGAAGACCACCAGGCAGCUCUAUGGAAAGAUCCACGUGGUAAGAACUGGGUGAGGCUUCCUGCCAGCAGCCAGCAAAAAACUGAAGGCACUCGUGGAAGUGGCUGCUCUCAGACUCCCAGGAGAGCCUUUGGAUGACUGCAAACCAAUACCUUACACCAAAAUCAACCAGCAAAGCCACGCCUCAGUUCCUGGUCCGUAGAACAUGUGAGAUAAUAAAGCUUAUUGCUUUA
Molecule: long non-coding RNA, 589 nt
Organism: Neogale vison (American mink)
Lineage: Eukaryota; Metazoa; Chordata; Mammalia; Carnivora; Mustelidae
Exons: 3
Source: RefSeq, a predicted model, not a curated record